RNAcentral lists this non-coding RNA (159 nucleotides) under Chloropicon laureae. Lineage: Eukaryota; Viridiplantae; Chlorophyta; Chloropicophyceae; Chloropicales; Chloropicaceae. The record is from RNAcentral.
AAAUAACACACACUUUGCUACUCUCUCUCCAUCUCUCUCUCUCUCUCUCUCUUGCCCCUUUUUUUCACUGAGAGACGUUAAUUAUCCAGGAGAAAGCCAAGAGAAGAGGCGAAAUGAUGGAGAAAAAAAAUGUUGACUGACUUUUUGAUCUUUUUUUUU